GUGGGUUGUUAUGUGUUCUUACAGAGUAACCCGGCAUUCCAGUUGUAGCAAUGGGAAUUUUAUACAGAGAACAAGAUGAAACACCAGUGUGAAGAAAAAAUCAGGUUCUCGCUUUAACUCACCUGCAGACACGAUCGAGAACAGACAAGCAGCCAGCAGAGUCCAGCAGACUGAUGUUCCAUCCAUUACUCGUAGUUUUGUGGGUCCUGAUCAGUGUUGCCAACUCCUCAGUAAGGAAAAUCGCUAUUGGCUGUCCUAAAAGUCGCUAGAAGUCGCUAAAUGACGUCAUCACCUAAUUUGCAUAAUUGGUCACGCUAAUAUAAUUGUAACCUAUGUUGUUGGAGAGAGAAAUAACAUCGUGGAAGAGACAUAAAGUGAGUAAAAAACGUCCUAAAUGCAUUUAGAGUUUAUUUAGAACUACAAAUUAAAUUUCUUUUAGCAAUUAUUGUUUUUUUAAUGUCACAAUUCCAACCCUGCUCCUUUACCCGGGCUUGGACUGGCAAAAGUGACCCGAAAUAGGCACUCUGGUGGAGUUACUUUGUGUUUGUGUGUGUUUAUAAGUAGUUUUAAACCUUGUGAUCCACAAAACAGCAGAAGAGUAAAAGAUUAAAAGAAGAACUGACUGCGUUACAGCACCCGCUGCUUGUUGAGAGUAAAAGCGAUACGCGCUUUCACGUCUUUUUUUAGCGACUUUUUAUAGAAAAAAAGUCGCUAGGGGGUCUGAAAACUCGCUAAAUAUAGCGACAAAGUCGCUAAGUUGGCAACACUGGUCCUGAUCAGAUCAGAGUGGUACAAAAGUUGGAGUGAAAAGUUCCCGACCGAUCGUGAAUUGUUGCUGGAGAAUGAUCGCUAACGCACCAGUUACACAGGACAGCAGAUCGAUGAGAGACCCGCUGACAGCAACCGAAAAAUGUGUUGCUCGCCGGGAUGGUAAAACCUGUGCUGUGCUGCUGUUGGGACAGUCAAUGUGUCUAAGUUGAGCACAAAAAAAUCAAAUGAGGGUGUCUGACACUGUUGCAGUAAAGGGACCUGGCUUCCAUCAGUCACAUGAUUACUAUUAACCAAUGAUCGCCCUUGACGGCAAAGCGCGCUGGUUAGGAGCUGGGAAUGAGCUCACGAAGAAAAGGAGGAGAAACACAAACUAACUCAGAGACACAGACUGAUGCGACACAACCAUCUCAGAUCAGCACAGCCCUGCCCUCCAGCACUAUCAGCAGCAGAAGCAGCAGCAACCCCUCAACAGCAACAUUGUACCCAUCAGGCCACAAAAUCAUCACAGCUGAGUCUGGAAAGAACAUCACUCUGACAUGUCGAGCUCCAAACAACAACAUAGUAGUAGAAUGGAGCAGAGCUGACCUGGAGUCAGAAUAUGUGCUUUUGUACCGAGUCGAGCUGUUUAUUCGAGAUCACCAGCAUCCAUCUUUUAAGGACCGGGUGGAUCAGCAGGACAGACAGAUGAAGGAUGGAGACGUGUUUUUGAUUCUGAUCAACGUGACGACUAAUGACACUGGAACAUACGAGUGUUGUGUCUUCAUGGGAGAAACACGCUCAUGGAAAUCCAUCAGCAUCAUCUAUCUGAUUGUUGAUCCUCCAGGUCAGACAGGAGGAGACACAGAGGAUGGAGAGGAGGAAGAUGGAGUUGGUAGAAGUCAUCAAGGUCGACUGAUGGCUGCUGAUUUAUUACUUGCUGUGAUCAUUCUUGUUUUUGCAGUUGUGAUCUCUAAAAAACACAAGAAAGAUCCUCCUCUUCAUCCUCCUGAUGAAGAAGCAAAGAAGGAAAUGGUCUGAAGCAAAGCACCAUGGAACAAGAGAGAGAGGGAGAAUACAUUAAAACCAGUUAAAAAUGUUUAACUAUAAAAAUGACAAUAUAUAUACGUAUAGAUGGAUAGUUGUAUGAGGGUAACUGAGAGUGACUUUGGCUUAGUGAGAUGAGUAGCUGCCUUGAGACUAAGAGGGCCAGGUUGGAAUCCUGCUCAGGGCAACAUUUUAGGGGGCAGGGAUAACUCAGUAGGUAGAGUGGUGGCCCCAUGAUCGGAAGGUCGGGGGUUCGAUUCCCCUGAACAGCUACCCUAAGGUACCCCUGAGCAAGGCACCGUCCCUACACACUGCUCCCCGGGCGCCCAAAGGCUGCCCACUGCUUCACUGAGUGAAUGGGUUAAAUGCAGAGAGGAAUUUCCCCACAGGGAUCAAUAAAGUACACUUUCUUUCUUUCUAACGUCACGAGGAGAACAAAGAGAAUAUAAACCAUAUAUGUGCUUAGAUCUGUGUGGACCAUUUUAGUUUAAUAUCAGAAGCUGUUUGAGUUACAUUUCAUUGCCCCAGAUGGUAACACCUCCACACCAUCUGAUAAGUUUUGGUUGAAGAUUUAUGUAAAGCAAACUGUCAGAGAAACUCUUGGAUCUGUGUCGGCUCCUCUUGAUCUCAGUGCUUUGAUCCUGUGGAUCACUGCAGACGUUUAGAGACAGUGAUAGAGACUCUCAGAGUUUCUGACUGGAUUAAACUGCACAGAUGGAGGAUUCUUUGUACGUGGUAGUGAAUCUUCAUCCAGGAGCUACAAACUGAACCAUGGCGCUCCACAGGGUCAGAUCUGGGACCAGUGCUUUUAACAUUUACAGGCUGUAACUUUGUGAUGUCAUCAGGAGACACAGAAUGAUUACACUGAUGAUACACAACUUUAUGUUGCUGUGUCUCUUGAUGACACAGAGCCAAUCAGAUCUCUCUGCAUCUUACAUAUUAAAUCCUGGAUGGCAGCAAACUUCCUCCAACUCACUCAGGAUGUGGAGACACAGACUCCUUCUUUCAUCUGCUGCAGGAUUGAUUGCUGCAGUGCUCGUCUUUUUAGUUUUCCAAAGAAACCCUUGUUACUGCAGCUGCUUUAAAAAUCAACUCCACAGCCUUAAUUACACCAAUGUUAUUGUCUGUGCAGUCAGAGUCGUCUUUAAGAUCCUUUUACUGGUUUUUAACACUCAGUGUUUCAGGACCUUCUCAUCUUUCUGAUUUACUUUUAUGCUAUGAGCACUUCAGAGCCCUCUGGGGCCCGUUCUUCGUACCUCGCUAAGUAAGUUAGCCGGAUUUGAAUGUUGACGAUUUCGCGUGAUCUUGGAUUGUUCGGUUCUCCGAAGCUCAUCUGGGACUUGCUGUCAUAGCAACAGAUCCGUAAGCGUAAACCUGCUCGGGAGCAGGUUUACUUUAUGUAAACAGGAUUAGAUCGCGGCCACUCAGGUAUGUCCGCUGCAGUUAUAUGAAAGCAAGAGCGAUAUUUCUCCACUGUGUUACCAUAAAUAAAUAUUAUCAAUGUCACUAAAGAUAAUGUAGCAUUUGAUUCUUUUAUUGAUUUCAUACAGAUACAUACAGGUCAUUUCCGAAAAAAAGGGAAAUGUACUAUUAAUCAUUCUAUUACAUGUAGUAGAUCAUGUCAGAUGUAAUUCAUAUUUUAGAGUAGUAAUAGUAAAUUACUACGUGCAAUCAAGAUGAGAGACCACGGCUAUAAAAGCGAAGGUGGAUUUGGGAAGUCUGUCGCAGCCAUGUCCUGUCCGUUUGUACGCGAGCAAGGAAGGUGCAAGAUUGAUAAGGAGAGUUUACAGAAUUUAGCGUAUAUUGCGGGAUAGACAGGAUCCUUUAGCUCAGCACGACGGUGUGCUCAUAGAGAGAUAUCGAUUCUCCCGUGAGGGUAUUAUUUUCUUUCUCUCUCUCUCUCACUCUCUCCAUACAUACAUAUAUAUAUAUAUAUGUAUAUAUAUAUCUUUAUUUGCUCUGCCCUUUUCUUGGUUGCUUUUAUAAACAAACAAACAGAUUAUUUCAGGGUCUCUUUUCAAGAGACUAAAAGCAAUAUAAGUGAUAAAUAUUACCAUUCUGUAGAAUAUUCUUAUAUUUCACUUUUACUUGUUCCCAUGUUCUAGUGGGUCCUGUUGUGGCUCUAAUGUGGAAGAGGAUAUGAUGUAAUAUAAUAUAAUAUGGUAUAAUAUAAUAUCACAUGAUAUAAUGUAAUAUCAUGGAUCACUUACGAGUUUAAUUUGUCAGCAACUUUCUGCCAGCCCUCUCUCCUUGCUUUUGCAGCCUUUGCAGUGUUCCCCUGCGUUUUAAUUAAACUAUGAAACUCCUGAAAUCCCUCAAUCAAGAGUUCUUGGUCUGCUGCCGUAAAAUACUGAGGGCGCUCCUUCGACAUCUUCGCCGACCAAUCACAGGGUUGCCGAUCAAUGUUUCUACUAUCGAUGCGUAGCCCCUUUUAAGCCACCCAGUGAUCUCAGAUUACUUCAUCCAGCUAUACUAAUCGUCAACAACAGGUGUGUUCGGAGAACCGGAUUAGCGAGCUCAAAGUUAGCGCGAUGAUUUGAUCUUGGAUGUGUCAUUUGAUCUUGGAUGUAGUAAGCGAGGUACGAAGAACGGGCCCCAGGACAGGAGACUGUUGAUCAUCUUUAUUUAUCAUGCUGCACUUUAUUUCAUUUUACUUUUGAUGUAUUUACUGUUUUCUUUGUUUAUUCCCUUUUCGUUAUAUUUCAUGUAUUCUUAGUAGCCUUGUUAUGUUAUUUAUCAUUUCUUUUUAAUCUCCAGUGUUUCUGUAUGAUGAGUGUCUGAUGUCUGGGUGUGGGAGUGGGGAUGAAGGAGUGAUGAGAGGAUGUAAUGAAGUUGAUGUAUGUGUAUUUUUUCUGCUUUUAAUUUAACAUCAUUUUGAGUGGCUUCCUUACUGUGUGAGAAGUGCUAUGUAAAUAAAGUUUUGAGUGAUAUAC
Oreochromis aureus is the source of this 4727-nucleotide long non-coding RNA. Lineage: Eukaryota; Metazoa; Chordata; Actinopteri; Cichliformes; Cichlidae. The record is from Ensembl.